ACGGAAAGGCCCUUCGGGGUACUCGAGUGGCGAACGGGUGAGUAACACGUGGGUGAUCUGCCCUGCACUUUGGGAUAAGCCUGGGAAACUGGGUCUAAUACCGAAUAGGACCGCAUGCUUCAUGGUGUGUGGUGGAAAGCUUUUGCGGUGUGGGAUGGGCCCGCGGCCUAUCAGCUUGUUGGUGAGGUAAUGGCUUACCAAGGCGACGACGGGUAGCCGGCCUGAGAGGGUGACCGGCCACACUGGGACUGAGAUACGGCCCAGACUCCUACGGGAGGCAGCAGUGGGGAAUAUUGCACAAUGGGCGCAAGCCUGAUGCAGCGACGCCGCGUGAGGGAUGACGGCCUUCGGGUUGUAAACCUCUUUCGCCAGGGACGAAGCGCAAGUGACGGUACCUGGAGAAGAAGGACCGGCCAACUACGUGCCAGCAGCCGCGGUAAUACGUAGGGUCCGAGCGUUGUCCGGAAUUACUGGGCGUAAAGAGCUCGUAGGUGGUUUGUCGCGUUGUUCGUGAAAACUCACAGCUUAACUGUGGGCGUGCGGGCGAUACGGGCAGACUUGAGUACUGCAGGGGAGACUGGAAUUCCUGGUGUAGCGGUGGAAUGCGCAGAUAUCAGGAGGAACACCGGUGGCGAAGGCGGGUCUCUGGGCAGUAACUGACGCUGAGGAGCGAAAGCGUGGGGAGCGAACAGGAUUAGAUACCCUGGUAGUCCACGCCGUAAACGGUGGGUACUAGGUGUGGGUUUCCUUCCUUGGGAUCCGUGCCGUAGCUAACGCAUUAAGUACCCCGCCUGGGGAGUACGGCCGCAAGGCUAAAACUCAAAGAAAUUGACGGGGGCCCGCACAAGCGGCGGAGCAUGUGGAUUAAUUCGAUGCAACGCGAAGAACCUUACCUGGGUUUGACAUGCACAGGACGCCGGCAGAGAUGUCGGUUCCCUUGUGGCCUGUGUGCAGGUGGUGCAUGGCUGUCGUCAGCUCGUGUCGUGAGAUGUUGGGUUAAGUCCCGCAACGAGCGCAACCCUUGUCUCAUGUUGCCAGCACGUUAUGGUGGGGACUCGUGAGAGACUGCCGGGGUCAACUCGGAGGAAGGUGGGGAUGACGUCAAGUCAUCAUGCCCCUUAUGUCCAGGGCUUCACACAUGCUACAAUGGCCGGUACAAAGGGCUGCGAUGCCGUGAGGUGGAGCGAAUCCUUUCAAAGCCGGUCUCAGUUCGGAUCGGGGUCUGCAACUCGACCCCGUGAAGUCGGAGUCGCUAGUAAUCGCAGAUCAGCAACGCUGCGGUGAAUACGUUCCCGGGCCUUGUACACACCGCCCGUCACGUCAUGAAAGUCGGUAACACCCGAAGCCGGUGGCCUAACCCCUUGUG
Molecule: ribosomal RNA, 1366 nt
Filed under: Mycolicibacterium gilvum
Lineage: Bacteria; Bacillati; Actinomycetota; Actinomycetes; Mycobacteriales; Mycobacteriaceae
Description: bacterial SSU rRNA
Rfam family: Bacterial small subunit ribosomal RNA
Source: RNAcentral